RNAcentral lists this ribosomal RNA (260 nucleotides) under uncultured prokaryote. RNAcentral describes it as "partial 16S ribosomal RNA". It matches the Rfam family "Bacterial small subunit ribosomal RNA", at positions 355 to 632 of the family's 1533-position model. The record is from RNAcentral.
UGGGGAAUCUUAGACAAUGGGGGCAACCCUGAUCUAGCCAUGCCGCGUGAGUGAUGAAGGCCUUAGGGUUGUAAAGCUCUUUCAGCUGGGAAGAUAAUGACGGUACCAGCAGAAGAAGCCCCGGCUAACUCCGUGCCAGCAGCCGCGGUAAUACGGAGGGGGCUAGCGUUGUUCGGAAUUACUGGGCGUAAAGCGCACGUAGGCGGACCAGAAAGUCAGAGGUGAAAUCCCAGGGCUCAACCUUGGAACUGCCUUUGAAA